RNAcentral lists this ribosomal RNA (468 nucleotides) under uncultured bacterium. RNAcentral describes it as "partial 16S ribosomal RNA". It matches the Rfam family "Bacterial small subunit ribosomal RNA", at positions 28 to 507 of the family's 1533-position model. The record is from RNAcentral.
GACGAACGCUGGCGGCGUGCUUAACACAUGCAAGUCGAACGGAAAGGCCCUGCUUUUGUGGGUUGCUCGAGUGGCGAACGGGUGAGUAACACGUGAGUAACCUGCCCUUGACUUUGGGAUAACUUCAGGAAACUGGGGCUAAUACCGGAUAGGAGCUCCUGCUGCAUGGUGGUGGUUGGAAAGUGUCGGCGGUUGGGGAUGGACUCGCGGCUUAUCAGCUUGUUGGUGGGGUAGUGGCUUACCAAGGCUUUGACGGGUAGCCGGCCUGAGAGGGUGACCGGCCACAUUGGGACUGAGAUACGGACCAGACUCCUACGGGAGGCAGCAGUGGGGAAUAUUGCACAAUGGGCGGAAGCCUGAUGCAGCAACGCCGCGUGCGGGAUGACGGCCUUCGGGUUGUAAACCGCUUUCGCCUGUGACGAAGCGUGAGUGACGGUAAUGGGUAAAGAAGCACCGGCUAACUACGUG